GGAGGGUGCAAGCGUUAUCCGGAUUCACUGGGUUUAAAGGGUGCGUAGGUGGGUUGGUAAGUCAGUGGUGAAAUCUCCAAGCUUAACUUGGAAACUGCCGUUGAUACUAUCAAUCUUGAAUCUCGUGGAGGUAAGCGGAAUAUGUCAUGUAGCGGUGAAAUGCUUAGAUAUGGCAUAGAACACCGUUAGCGAAGGCAGCUUGCUACACGAGUAUUGACACUGAGGCACGAAAGCGUGGGGAUCAAACAGGAUUAGAUACCCUGGUAGUCCACGCCCUAAACGAUGGAUACUCGACAUACGCGAUACACAGUGUGUGUCUGAGCGAAAGCAUUAAGUAUCCCACCUGGGAAGUACGACCGCAAGGUUG
This 367-nucleotide ribosomal RNA is filed under the name uncultured bacterium. RNAcentral describes it as "bacterial SSU rRNA". It matches the Rfam family "Bacterial small subunit ribosomal RNA", at positions 527 to 896 of the family's 1533-position model. The record is from RNAcentral.